AACGAACGCUGGCGGCAGGCCUAACACAUGCAAGUCGAGCGGACCCUUCGGGGUUAGCGGCGGACGGGUGAGUAACGCGUGGGUAUAUGCCCUUCUCUACGGAAUAGUCCUGGGAAACUGGGGGUAAUACCGUAUACGCCCUUUGGGGGAAAGAUUUAUCGGGGAAGGAUUAGCCCGCGUUGGAUUAGGUAGUUGGUGGGGUAAUGGCCUACCAAGCCGACGAUCCAUAGCUGGUUUGAGAGGAUGAUCAGCCACACUGGGACUGAGACACGGCCCAGACUCCUACGGGAGGCAGCAGUGGGGAAUCUUAGACAAUGGGGGCAACCCUGAUCUAGCCAUGCCGCGUGAGUGAUGAAGGCCUUAGGGUUGUAAAGCUCUUUCAGCUGGGAAGAUAAUGACGGUACCAGCAGAAGAAGCCCCGGCUAACUCCGUG
RNAcentral lists this ribosomal RNA (433 nucleotides) under uncultured bacterium. Its description in RNAcentral is "partial 16S ribosomal RNA". It matches the Rfam family "Bacterial small subunit ribosomal RNA", at positions 29 to 507 of the family's 1533-position model. The record is from RNAcentral.